This 527-nucleotide ribosomal RNA is filed under the name uncultured bacterium. RNAcentral describes it as "partial 16S ribosomal RNA". It matches the Rfam family "Bacterial small subunit ribosomal RNA", at positions 355 to 874 of the family's 1533-position model. The record is from RNAcentral.
UGGGGAAUUUUGGACAAUGGGCGAAAGCCUGAUCCAGCAAUGCCGCGUGUGUGAAGAAGGCCUUCGGGUUGUAAAGCACUUUUGUCCGGAAAGAAAUCCUUGGGCUCUAAUACAGUCGGGGGAUGACGGUACCGGAAGAAUAAGCACCGGCUAACUACGUGCCAGCAGCCGCGGUAAUACGUAGGGUGCAAGCGUUAAUCGGAAUUACUGGGCGUAAAGCGUGCGCAGGCGGUUUGCUAAGACCGAUGUGAAAUCCCCGGGCUCAACCUGGGAACUGCAUUGGUGACUGGCAGGCUAGAGUAUGGCAGAGGGGGGUUAGAAUUCCACGUGUAGCAGUGAAAUGCGUAGAGAUGUGGAGGAAUACCGAUGGCGAAGGCAGCCCCCUGGGCCAAUACUGACGCUCAUGCACGAAAGCGUGGGGAGCAAACAGGAUUAGAUACCCUGGUAGUCCACGCCCUAAACGAUGUCACUAGUUGUUGGGGAUUCAUUUCCUUAGUAACGUAGCUAACGCGUGAAGUUGACCGCCU